UACGUAGGGGGCGAGCGUUGUCCGGAUUCAUUGGGCGUAAAGAGCUCGUAGGCGGUUCAGCAAGUCGGGUGUGAAACCUCCAGGCUCAACCUGGAGACGCCACCCGAUACUGCUGUGACUUGAGUCCGGUAGGGGACCACGGAAUACCUGGUGUAGCGGUGAAAUGCGCAGAUAUCUGGAGGAACACCGGUGGCGAAGGCGGCAUCCUGGACCGGUAUUGACGCUGAGGCGCGAAAGCUAGGGGAGCAAACGGG
RNAcentral lists this ribosomal RNA (254 nucleotides) under uncultured bacterium. RNAcentral's name for it is "partial 16S ribosomal RNA". It matches the Rfam family "Bacterial small subunit ribosomal RNA", at positions 524 to 776 of the family's 1533-position model. The record is from RNAcentral.